UUUCCUACGGGGCGCAGCAGUGAGGAAUAUUGGUCAAUGGGCUUACGCCUGAACCAGCCAAGUCGCGUGAGGGAAGACUGCCCUAUGGGUUGUAAACCUCUUUUGUCAGGGAGCAACGCCGGCUACGUGUAGCCGGACUGAGAGUACCUGAAGAAAAAGCAUCGGCUAACUCCGUGCCAGCAGCCGCGGUAAUACGGAGGAUGCGAGCGUUAUCCGGAUUUAUUGGGUUUAAAGGGUGCGUAGGCGGGAUGCCAAGUCAGCGGUAAAAAUGCGGUGCUCAACGCCGUCGAGCCGUUGAAACUGGG
Molecule: ribosomal RNA, 305 nt
Filed under: uncultured bacterium
Lineage: Bacteria
Description: bacterial SSU rRNA
Rfam family: Bacterial small subunit ribosomal RNA
Source: RNAcentral